UGGGGAAUAUUGAACAAUGGACCAAAAGUCUGAUCCAGCAAUUCUGUGUGCACGAUGACGUUUUUCGGAAUGUAAAGUGCUUUCAGUUGGGAAGAAAAAAAUGACGGUACCAACAGAAGAAGUGACGGCUAAAUACGUGCCAGCAGCCGCGGUAAUACGUAUGUCACAAGCGUUAUCCGGAUUUAUUGGGCGUAAAGCGCGUCUAGGUGGUUAUGUAAGUCUGAUGUGAAAAUGCAGGGCUCAACUCUGUAUUGCGUUGGAAACUGCAUGACUAGAGUACUGGAGAGGUAAGCGGAACUACAAGUGUAGAGGUGAAAUUCGUAGAUAUUUGUAGGAAUGCCGAUGGGGAAGCCAGCUUACUGGACAGAUACUGACGCUAAAGCGCGAAAGCGUGGGUAGCAAACAGGAUUAGAUACCCUGGUAGUCCACGCCGUAAACGAUGAUUACUAGGUGUUGGGGGUCGAACCUCAGCGCCCAAGCUAACGCGAUAAGUAAUCCGCCUGGGGAGUACGUACGCAAGUAUG
Molecule: ribosomal RNA, 524 nt
Filed under: uncultured bacterium
Lineage: Bacteria
Description: bacterial SSU rRNA
Rfam family: Bacterial small subunit ribosomal RNA
Source: RNAcentral